RNAcentral lists this ribosomal RNA (403 nucleotides) under uncultured bacterium. Its description in RNAcentral is "bacterial SSU rRNA". It matches the Rfam family "Bacterial small subunit ribosomal RNA", at positions 356 to 773 of the family's 1533-position model. The record is from RNAcentral.
GGGGAAUAUUGCACAAUGGGCGAAAGCCUGAUGCAGCGACGCCGCGUGAGGGAAGAAGGUUUUCGGAUCGUAAACCUCUGUCCAGAGGGAAGAAGGAAGUGACGGUACCUUUGGAGGAAGCCCCGGCUAACUACGUGCCAGCAGCCGCGGUAAUACGUAGGGGGCGAGCGUUGUCCGGAAUUAUUGGGCGUAAAGGGCGCGUAGGCGGUGACACAAGUCAGGUGAUAAAGGCACGGGCUCAACCGGGGUUAGGCACUUGAUACUGUGUUGCUAGAGUGCAGGAGAGGGGAGUGGAAUUCCAGGUGUAGCGGUGAAAUGCGUAGAUAUCUGGAAGAACACCAGUGGCGAAGGCGGCUCUCUGGACUGCAACUGACGCUGAGGCGCGAAAGCUGGGGGAGCAAAC